Molecule: ribosomal RNA, 510 nt
Filed under: uncultured Actinomycetes bacterium
Lineage: Bacteria; Bacillati; Actinomycetota; Actinomycetes
Description: bacterial SSU rRNA
Rfam family: Bacterial small subunit ribosomal RNA
Source: RNAcentral
UAGGGCGAAAGCCUGAUGCAGCAACGCCGCGUGCGGGAAGAAGGCCUUAGGGUUGUAAACCGCUUUCAGCAGGGAAGAAAUGACGGUACCUGUAGAAGAAGGUGCGGCCAACUACGUGCCAGCAGCCGCGGUGACACGUAGGCACCAAGCGUUGUCCGGAUUUAUUGGGCGUAAAGAGCUCGUAGGCGGUUCGGUAAGUCGGGUGUGAAAACUCUGGGCUCAACCCAGAGCCGCCACCCGAUACUGCUGUGACUCGAGUGCGGUAGGGGAGCGGGGAAUUCCUGGUGUAGCGGUGAAAUGCGCAGAUAUCAGGAGGAACACCAGUGGCGAAGGCGCCGCUCUGGGCCGUGACUGACGCUGAGGAGCGAAAGCGUGGGUAGCAAACAGGAUUAGAUACCCUGGUAGUCCACGCCGUAAACGUUGGGCACUAGGUGUGGGUCUCAACCAACGAGAUCCGCGCCGUCGCUAACGCAUUAAGUGCCCCGCCUGGGGAGUACGGUCGCAAGACUA